RNAcentral lists this ribosomal RNA (478 nucleotides) under uncultured organism. RNAcentral describes it as "partial 16S ribosomal RNA". It matches the Rfam family "Bacterial small subunit ribosomal RNA", at positions 332 to 801 of the family's 1533-position model. The record is from RNAcentral.
UACACUCCUACGGGAGGCAGCAGUGGGGAAUUUUGGACAAUGGGCGAAAGCCUGAUCCAGCAAUGCCGCGUGAGUGAAGAAGGCCUUCGGGUUGUAAAGCUCUUUUGUCAGGGAAGAAACGGUGAAAGCUAAUAUCUUUUGCUAAUGACGGUACCUGAAGAAUAAGCACCGGCUAACUACGUGCCAGCAGCCGCGGUAAUACGUAGGGUGCAAGCGUUAAUCGGAAUUACUGGGCGUAAAGCGUGCGCAGGCGGUUUUGUAAGUCUGAUGUGAAAUCCCCGGGCUCAACCUGGGAAUUGCAUUGGAGACUGCAAGGCUAGAAUCUGUCAGAGGGGGGUAGAAUUCCACGUGUAGCAGUGAAAUGCGUAGAUAUGUGGAGGAACACCGAUGGCGAAGGCAGCCCCCUGGGUCAAGAUUGACGCUCAUGCACGAAAGCGUGGGGAGCAAACAGGAUUAGAAACCCGUGUAGUCCCAUGAU